Molecule: small nuclear RNA, 105 nt
Organism: Cricetulus griseus (Chinese hamster)
Lineage: Eukaryota; Metazoa; Chordata; Mammalia; Rodentia; Cricetidae
Source: Ensembl
UUGCUGGAUUUGACAACACAGACACUAACACUGAAAAGAGACUGAAGACUGGCAUGGCUCCUGUGCAAGGGUGACACACAAAUUGGGGGCACCUUCCAUAGUUUU